GCCCCGCGCAGCCCCCGGACCCCACGCAGCUCCGGGACCCCGCGCAUCCCCCCGCCCCGCGCAGCCCCGGUUCCCCGAGCUCAGCCUCCUCUAGAGAAGGGGGAGCAGGGUCGCCGUCCACUGGUAACGCCUGAUGCGCAGGGUUACCGCUCUCUCCUGGCGGGGGACAGUCCGGUGGGCACCUCUGUGUCCCCCACAAGAAGCAAAUCCCCAAAUCCAGCCAUUCCCCGACCACCACCGCGAAAAUCACCAGUAAAAUGACCAAAAGCUCUGAGCGUGAUGCUACUGCGUCAAGAGGUAUUUGAAGACGAAUUGGCAUCUAACCGAGACUUUCUCCUAAGAGGAAGGACCAGGAUGGAAACGGAAUUACUGAGGCAGGAGGAUCUUCACUCAUGAGUCAAUAUUAUUCAAGGAGGUUUUCCCAAGUCACCAAAAAUCCUGUCCUGAAUCACCAGCAAUAGUGGGCUUUCCGUGUUUGCAGAAGUGCUGCCUCUAGAGAUGAGCAGGCUCUGACUAGCGCAGUAUUUGCAACUGUGCUACCUAAAGAGGCUUGUGAAGGUCCUGUGCAGUGGGGCUCAUCCUUGUUUAUGCUCUUGGGAGCCUGUGAUGACCACCAUAGAAACAAGCCUAGAAUAGCUUGCUGGAUGAUGAAGGACUCACAGCCAACAACCAGCCAACUGCCACAUGUCUGAGUGAGACCACUGACCUCCAGCUGCCACAGAUGCCUGCCUGAGUCCAGCUGAGAUCAGCGGAAGAACUACCCAGCUGAGCCUUGCCCAAUUUGCUGACUUACAGAUCCCCUGCCAAAUAAACUGGUGUUGUUUUAAGCCACUAAGAUUUGCGGUGGUUUGCUAUGCAUCAACAGACAGACGUGGUGACACCACUGAUGAGGAGUCUGCAUGGCCUGAACUUUCCCUGGCAGCCCUGGCAUCGUGCCCUGUUGGGUCCUCACCUCAAGAAGAUUCUACAGCAGAUUCUGGCAGGCCAGGGGCUACAGGAAGGAGCCGGUCUAGUAAGCAACCUUUUAUUUAGUGCCUGUUGUGUACAAACCCUGUACUUACCCUAGAGACAUUGGGGAACAUUGCAGACCACAAUCCCUGUCCUGGGGGGUUUGCAAGGCUUACCAGCAAAGUUUUGCAAACAAACACUCUAGGGGACAAGAGGAAAAUAGGGGUUAGAAUAUAGUUAAGGCUUCUGGUCUUCUGACCAGCUGGGCCACCUCGUCCAUUCUUUGUCAUCCAAGAGGGUGGGAAGGAGCUCAUCCCUGAGUUGAACGUCUAGGGUUAACUCGGCGCCAAACACUUGUUCUGAACCGUCCGAUCUAUGUCUCAUGCUAAGAAGACAGGUACUGUCUGCCAAUAUAUUGCCCUCUGGCAAACCACCUGGUUUCAUUCCAACCUGUCAAUGAAAUAGACUGUAGAAGAGCGGCCAUAACUUGGUCCAUCUGCCUUCCGCUGCCACCUGGUCUGUGCUUUGCUCUCGGCUGACAUUGAGGUGGGAAAGCAGCCCGCCCCUGCACUUACCAGGCUUCGUGGAGGCUUUCAGUACUGCUGCGGCUUUGAAGACCUCACUGGUAUUUCAGGCAGCUGGACAAUCGGCAAGCUGUUGGGAGCCAAGGAAUCGUCACAUUACCAAUCAUGUACCUUUAAGACAACUCUCUGGGUGACUCUCCUGCCCCUAUUUGCUUUCCUUCUCUGGAGUAAGUCAGCCAGUUAUUAAGGUGUUUAAAAAUAAAACUGGGGAGGAAAAUCAAAGAGUGGCGAGCCUCUACCCUCCCCAGCAUGUGGAGCAACUUUCAACUCAGUUGAAAAGGCAUCUCCAGUUGCCUGGGCUUCCCUUAGAGGUUUCAGGUCCCGAGUGUCAGCUCGAACCUGCUUAGCUUGUGAGAUGUGAUGAAAUCACAAACCACGGCAGUGUAGCUGCGAGCCAUCCUUUUUUAUCUCUUUUCAUUUAUGUAGCCUGACAUUGAGUAAUAAUAAUAAUUAGACACAGUUUAAGCUUUGAGGCACCUAUACCAGCAGGCCUCUCGACACCUCAUCCACAGCAGCCCAGGCUGACAAAAAUAAAGCUAAUUAUAUUGUGGUUAACUAUUUUCAAAGAAAAAAAUUAACAAAACCACUCACCCACUGUCCCCACCUCUGAUGAAAGCAGUGGAUGAAAUAUUCCACCCCAUAGUCCAUUUGCCCAGGACCAACUUAAAGCAAGGUACUCUCGUCUUAAAUAUGCCACCCUGGCACAAAAUAUUGAAACAUUGUCCUAAGUCUCUAUUUUCACAUCCCCUUAAAAAAAAAAAAAAGCCUGUGAAAAAAGCCUCUAGGGACCCAAUUUUUCCAUUUAUAUUCAUAGCCCAGGGGCCAGUUCUAUUUAUUUAUUUAUAUGCACAUAUAGUUAGAAGUGCUUAGGUGCUUUUGAUUGAUGCUUUAAACUUUCAAAAGUUUGAGAAGGUUUUAGAUGUGGAAACUCCAAAACAGCUUAAUCUGAGAAAUUCAACCUGCAGAUACCAAUGAAAACAAAACAAAACAAAUCUCUAGAGAGACUGGGAAAGAAAGGUUGACUUGAACUUGUUGUUAGAAACCUCGCCUCGUGUUACAGGUUCUCUACUGACUUGCGAGAUAACGUUGGCCAAGUCCCAACAGCCCCAGACACACAGGAAAGCCCUAAAGCUUUUGAUGCAACUUCUCCAGACAGUAUUUUCCGUUCCAAUUCUGGCUGCCCAAGCAAAAAUGUCAGCGUUCUCAUUAAAGGAAACUAAGCGAAUCUCUAGCAGAGAUUUUUGGCUCAGCUUUUCUCUGAACUGCACAACUGGGGCAAUAUUCAUGGCCACUCCUUUCUCCAGUCACUUUUCUCCUGUCUGCAUUAGGAAACCCAGUCUGAUGAGCCUAAGAAGAAAAUGAUUCUUAAUGACUGUGAUUUAUAGUGGCAGAUAUAUAUAUAU
Non-coding RNA from Sus scrofa (pig), 2935 nucleotides. NCBI's taxonomy places the organism in Eukaryota, Metazoa, Chordata, Mammalia, Artiodactyla, Suidae. The record is from RefSeq and is a predicted model, not a curated record.